GUGCUCACUUUGGCAGUACAUAUACUAAAAUUGGAAUGAUACAGAGAUUAGCAUGGCCUCUGAGCAAGGAUGACAUGCAAAUUCAUGAAGUAUUCCAUAUAAAA
This is a small nuclear RNA of Rhinopithecus bieti (black snub-nosed monkey), 104 nucleotides long. The record is from Ensembl. NCBI's taxonomy places the organism in Eukaryota, Metazoa, Chordata, Mammalia, Primates, Cercopithecidae.